This 216-nucleotide ribosomal RNA is filed under the name Glomeromycotina sp. RNAcentral describes it as "partial small subunit ribosomal RNA". The stretch from base 40 to 216 matches the Rfam family "Eukaryotic small subunit ribosomal RNA", at positions 686 to 864 of the family's 1831-position model. Lineage: Eukaryota; Fungi; Glomeromycota. The record is from RNAcentral.
GGGUCAGUAGGUUGGUCGUGCCACCGGUACGUACUGGUCUCACUGAUUCCUCCUUCCUGAAGAACCGUAAUGCCAUUAAUUUGGUGUUGCGGGGAAACAGGACUGUUACUUUGAAAAAAUUAGAGUGUUUAAAGCAAGCUAACGCUUGAAUACAUUAGCAUGGAAUAAUGAAAUAGGACGAUCGGUCCUACUUUGUUGGUUUCUAGGAUUGACGUA